Molecule: ribosomal RNA, 1368 nt
Filed under: Desulforamulus ruminis
Lineage: Bacteria; Bacillati; Bacillota; Clostridia; Eubacteriales; Peptococcaceae
Description: Desulfotomaculum ruminis partial ribosomal RNA
Rfam family: Bacterial small subunit ribosomal RNA
Source: RNAcentral
UUAUGGAGAGUUURGUCCUGGCUCAGGACGAACGCUGGCGGCGUGCUUAACACAUGCAAGUCGAACGGAGUUUAAAAUGAAACCUNGUGAUUUUURAACUUAGUGGCGGACGGGUGAGUAACGCGUGGAUAACCUGGCGGAUAGACCGGGAUAACAGUUGGAAACGACUGCUAAUACCGGAUACGCUCCUAGGAACGCAUGUUCUAAGGAGGAAAGAUUUAUCGCUAACCGAUGGAUCCGCGUCCCAUUAGCUAGUUGGAGGUGUAACGGACCCCCAAGGCGACGAUGGGUAGCCGGCCUGAGAGGGCGAACGGCCACACUGGAACUGAGACACGGCCUNGACUCCUACGGGAGGCAGCAGUGGGGAAUAUUCCGCAAUGGGCGAAAGCCUGACGGAGCAACGCNGCGUGAGGGAAGAAGGCUUUCGGGUUGUAAACCUCUGUCUUAAGGGAAGAACAAAAUGACGGUACCUUGAGAGGAAGCCCCGGCUANNNNNNNNNNNNNNNNNNNNNNNNNNNNNNNNNNNNNAGCGUUGUCCGGAAUUACUGGGCGUAAAGGGCGCGUAGGUGGUGCAUUAAGUUAGAGGUGAAAGUGCCGGGCNNAACCCCGUGAGGCCUCUGAUACUGGUGGACUUGAGUGCAGGAGAGGGGAGCAGAAUUCCCAGUGUAGCGGUGAAAUGCGUAGAUAUUGGGAGGAAUACCAGUGGCGAAGGCGGCNNUCUNGACUGUAACUGACACUGAGGCGCGAAACCGUGGGGAGCGAACAGGAUUAGAUACCCUGGUAGUCCACGCCGUAAACGAUGAGUGCUAGGUGUUGGGGGUAUCGACCACCCCCAGUGCCGUAGUUAACACAAUAAGCACUCCGCCUGGGGAGUACGGUCGCAAGACUGAAACUCAAAGGAAUUGACGGGGGCCCGCACAAGCGGUGGAGUAUGUGGUUUAAUUCGACGNAACGCGAAGAACCUUACCAGGGCUUGACAUCCGUCUNAAAAGUAUAGGGAUAUACUCUUGCCUUCGGGGNNACAGAGAGACAGGUGGUGCAUNGUUGUCGUCAGCUCGUGUCGUGAGAUGUUGGGUUAAGUCCCGCAACGAGCGCAACCCCURACAUUCGUUGCCAGCGAGUAAUGUCGGGAACUCGAAUGUGACUGCCGUUGACAAAACGGAGGAAGGUGGGGAUGACGUCAAAUCAUCAUGCCCCUUAUGUCCUGGGCUACRCGCGUACUACNAUGGCCGGUACAGACGGAAGCGAAGCUGUGAAGUGAAGCAAAUCUGAGAAAGCCGGUCCCAGUUCGGAUUGUAGUCUGCAACUCGACUACAUGGGGUCGGAAUCGCUAGUAAUCGCAGGUCAGCAUACUGCGGUNAAUACGUU